AAGGGAACAAGUCAUAGGGGUAGCUGCUAACUAACACCUAAAGCGGUUAAAUUCCGUUUUUCUCUUA
This 67-nucleotide transfer RNA is filed under the name Exitianus nanus. RNAcentral describes it as "tRNA-Ser". The record is from RNAcentral. Lineage: Eukaryota; Metazoa; Arthropoda; Insecta; Hemiptera; Cicadellidae.